This 460-nucleotide ribosomal RNA is filed under the name uncultured bacterium. RNAcentral's name for it is "partial 16S ribosomal RNA". It matches the Rfam family "Bacterial small subunit ribosomal RNA", at positions 338 to 795 of the family's 1533-position model. The record is from RNAcentral.
CCUACGGGUGGCAGCAGUGAGGAAUAUUGGUCAAUGGGCGCGAGCCUGAACCAGCCAAGUCGCGUGAGGGAAGACGGCCCUACGGGUUGUAAACCUCUUUUGCCGGGGAGCAACGGGCGCCACGUGUGGCGCCACUGAGAGUACCCGGAGAAAAAGCAACGGCUAACUCCGUGACAGCAGCCGCGGUAAGACGGGGGAUGCGAGCGUUAUCCGGAUUUAUUGGGUUAAAAGGGUGCGUGGGCGGAGCGUUAAGUCAGUGGUCAAAUUGAGGGCCCCAACCCCUUCCCGCCAUUGAAACUGGCGCUCUUGAGUGGAAGAGAUGUAUGCGGAAUGCGUGGUGUAGCGGUGAAAUGCAUAGAUAUCACGCAGAACCCCGAUUGCGAAGGCAGCAUGCCGGCUUCCUACUGACGCUGAAGCACGAAAGCGUGGGGAUCGAACAGGAUUAGAUACCCUUGUAGUC